GAGGGUAUAGCUCAGUGGCUGAGCAGGUGCUUGGCAUGCACAAGGUCUUGUGUUCAAUCCUCAGUCUCUCCA
This 72-nucleotide transfer RNA is filed under the name Camelus dromedarius (Arabian camel). It matches the Rfam family "tRNA". From Rfam's summary of the family: Transfer RNA (tRNA) molecules are approximately 80 nucleotides in length. Their secondary structure includes four short double-helical elements and three loops (D, anti-codon, and T loops). The record is from Rfam by way of RNAcentral. RNAcentral also lists the same sequence under 1 other name. Lineage: Eukaryota; Metazoa; Chordata; Mammalia; Artiodactyla; Camelidae.